This 331-nucleotide ribosomal RNA is filed under the name uncultured bacterium. Its description in RNAcentral is "partial 16S ribosomal RNA". It matches the Rfam family "Bacterial small subunit ribosomal RNA", at positions 338 to 666 of the family's 1533-position model. The record is from RNAcentral.
CCUACGGGAGGCAGCAGUGAGGAAUAUUGGUCAAUGGGCGGGAGCCUGAACCAGCCAAGUCGCGUGAGGGAAGACGGUCCUAUGGAUUGUAAACCUCUUUAGGCGGGGAGCAAUGCCGGGCACGCGUGCACGGAGGGAGAGUACCCGCAGACUAAGCAUCGGCGAACUCCGUGCCAGCAGCCGCGGUAAUACGGAGGAUGCGAGCGUUAUCUGGAUUUAUUGGGGUAAAAGGGUGCGUAGGCGGAUUUUUAAGUCAGCGGUAAAAUGUCCGGGCUCAACCCGGGCCGGCCGUUGCAACUGGGGAUCUUGAGUGGGCGAGAGGUAUGCGGAA